GACGAACGCUGGCGGCGUGCUUAACACAUGCAAGUCGAACGGAAAGGCCCUGCUUUUGUGGGGUGCUCGAGUGGCGAACGGGUGAGUAACACGUGAGUAACCUGCCCUUGACUUUGGGAUAACUUCAGGAAACUGGGGCUAAUACCGGAUAGGAGCUCCUGCUGCAUGGUGGGGGUUGGAAAGUUUCGGCGGUUGGGGAUGGACUCGCGGCUUAUCAGCUUGUUGGUGGGGUAGUGGCUUACCAAGGCUUUGACGGGUAGCCGGCCUGAGAGGGUGACCGGCCACAUUGGGACUGAGAUACGGCCCAGACUCCUACGGGAGGCAGCGGUGGGGAGUAUUGCACAAUGGGCGGGAGCCUGAUGCAGCAGCGCCGCGUGCGGGAUGACGGCCUUCGGGUUGUAAACCGCUUUCGCCUGAGACGAAGCGUGAGUGACGGUAAUGGGUAAAGAAGCACCGGCUAACUACGUG
This 468-nucleotide ribosomal RNA is filed under the name uncultured bacterium. RNAcentral describes it as "partial 16S ribosomal RNA". It matches the Rfam family "Bacterial small subunit ribosomal RNA", at positions 28 to 507 of the family's 1533-position model. The record is from RNAcentral.